Molecule: ribosomal RNA, 437 nt
Filed under: Candidatus Brocadia carolinensis
Lineage: Bacteria; Pseudomonadati; Planctomycetota; Candidatus Brocadiia; Candidatus Brocadiales; Candidatus Brocadiaceae
Description: bacterial SSU rRNA
Rfam family: Bacterial small subunit ribosomal RNA
Source: RNAcentral
GUGACGAAGCGACGCCGCGUGCGGGAGGAAGGCCUUCGGGUUGUAAACCGCUGUCGGGAGUUAGGAAAUGCAAGGAUGUUAAUAGCGUCCUUGCUUGACUAAGGCUCCGGAGGAAGCCACGGCUAACUCUGUGCCAGCAGCCGCGGUAAUACAGAGGCGGCAAGCGUUGUUCGGAAUUAUUGGGCGUAAAGAGCACGUAGGCGGCUGUGUAAGUCGGUUGUGAAAGCCUUCCGCUCAACGGAAGAACGGCAUCCGAUACUGCAUGGCUUGAGUGUGGGAGGGGAGAGUGGAACUUCUGGUGGAGCGGUGAAAUGCGUAGAUAUCAGAAGGAACACCGGCGGCGAAGGCGACUCUCUGGUCCGUAACUGACGCUGAGUGUGCGAAAGCUAGGGGAGCAAACGGGAUUAGAUACCCCGGUAGUCCUAGCCGUAAACGAU